Molecule: long non-coding RNA, 1491 nt
Filed under: Bos grunniens (domestic yak)
Lineage: Eukaryota; Metazoa; Chordata; Mammalia; Artiodactyla; Bovidae
Description: lncRNA (ENSBGRG00000016949.1)
Source: RNAcentral
AUGACCGGGGAGGGGACGCGGGUGGAGACCCCAGUCCUCCCCGCCCGCAGCCCCUGCACCCGGCCCACACCGGUUCCCACGCCCCCGCCCAGCGUGCCUUGGCCCGGAGCCCGGACCGGCCCCAGCGCCGGGGGCCACCUCGCCCCGGGGCCGCCGCAGAACGUGCGCGUCCAAGGGGAAGGCAGCGGUCCGCCUCCUUCCCGGGCAGAGGCCCGGGGCCGAGGUUGGGGGGGGGGGCGGGGACAAGAGGGCCGGAGAGAGCCCCGUGCGGGUCCCCAGAGGGCCGGGCGGGCGCAGACUGCGGCAGGCCGGGGUGCACCCCGCGGCCCCGACCCCGCCGCCCCGCCGGGUCCCCGCGCACUGACCGGCCAGCAGGGCGUAGAGCAGCUGCGCGCGCGGGUGCUGCCGCAGGCCGCGGAAGGCCGUGUUGGGGAUGCGCUCCAUGAUGCCGUCGUAGAAGAUGCGGCGCGCCGCCUCCUGCUCCGCCGCGCGGAACUCGCGGAUGUACACGCCGCGCCCCUCGGGCGGCUCCGCGCCCCCGGCGCCGCCGAGAGCCUGGGGCCCGGCGCGGGCGGGGAGCGGCGGGGCGGCGGCCGGCCCGGGGCAGCGGGCAGCGGGGCCACAUGGCGCCGGCGGCGGCGAGCAGCGCGUCCUUCUGGGCCCCGGCAGCGCCUCAUGGUCCUCGGCGGCCACGAUCUUCGUCUCGCAGACCAUGUCGGGAGGCCCACAAUGCAUGCACCUGGCCGGGCGGCGCAGCGCAGGGACGCGGGCCGGGCGGCGGGCCCAGGGCAGGGCGCGGCGCCCUCGGACCCGCGGCGGCGGCGGCGGCAGCGGCGGCGGCUCAGGAGCGCGGGGCGGAGGCGGCGGGCGGCCGGGGCGCGCGCAGGGAGCUGCGCCGCAUUUUGGAGAAGUAUUUAUAAUGCAGCGGCGCCGGUGCAGUCGCGGCGCCCGGGGUCCCGCAGGGUCCUAGCGUCCACUGCAUUGGCUGCCGAGGGUCACCAUGUGAUCUCGAGGGUGGGAGCAGACGCCGCCCCGCGCCCGCCCGAUGGCACACUCGGGCGCUGCACCGCGGCCGGCCGGGGCGGCGCGGGCGUCCCCGGGAGCGGCGGGGCGGCGGCCGGCCCGGGGCAGCGGGCAGCGGGGCCACAUGGCGCCGGCGGCGGCGAGCAGCGCGUCCUUCUGGGCCCCGGCAGCGCCUCAUGGUCCUCGGCGGCCACGAUCUUCGUCUCGCAGACCAUGUCGGGAGGCCCACAAUGCAUGCACCUGGCCGGGCGGCGCAGCGCAGGGACGCGGGCCGGGCGGCGGGCCCAGGGCAGGGCGCGGCGCCCUCGGACCCGCGGCGGCGGCGGCGGCAGCGGCGGCGGCUCAGGAGCGCGGGGCGGAGGCGGCGGGCGGCCGGGGCGCGCAGGAGCUGCGCCGCAUUUUGGAGAAGUAUUUAUAAUGCAGCGGCGCCGGUGCAGUCGCGGCGCCUGGGGUCCCGCAGGGUCCUAG